UNAAAAAAAAAAAAAAAAAAAAAAAAAAAAAAAGUAAUUUAAGAGCCUUGUUUGUUUGGAAGGGAAUGCGAAAGACCCCUUGUUCUGGAGCUGAAGUGCAGCAGAAAGAAAGAAAGAGCGAUUGAGUCGAAUUGGGUCUGGGUCUGGGUUUGGGUUUGGGUUUAAUAGCUACAGAAAAAAGUCAGCCGUUCCAAACUUUGAAGGUUGGAGCAGACUGGAUUAACCCGACCAAACUGUCCUAAUCACGUCAACCUCCUCCCUCCACUUCAUGCCACCACAUUCAAACCAUAUUUUCGGCACUACAAUUUGCUUACAUUAUGUGGUUUUUUUUUUUUCAUUUCUUAAAUUGGUUGGUUUGUUUUUUAAAAAUUUAGAAUUUUGUUUUUUAACUUUUGAAUUUUGUUUUUAUAAAAUUAACAAAACUCUUACCUUAUUUAGGAAAAUCUUAUCAAAAUAUGGGGUUCAAUUAUAACAUUAGACACAAUUUGGUGAUAUCAUGUGUUAGAACAGCGCAUCCCUGAUGACAUACAUCUUGUGGUUCAAUUUUAUUUGAAUUUGUAUUCGGCUUCUUGACUUGCAUGCAACCUAGUUUAGUGUCCACGGUCCAAUAUGAAUUAUGACAAAUGUUUCAUUUGAGUGUACCAUGCGUUCUUACAAGAAUAAUCUGUAACAGUCCAAAUCCAAUUAAGUAAAUAUUGUUUGCUCUUGUCUGUUACUUAUUGCCGUAAGUCUCAUGAAUUUUUAAACGCGUUUGUUAGAAAGGGUUCUCCGUUCACCUCCUUAGUCGACGUAAGAUGUUGAUUGAAGGGAUAUAUAUAUAUACACUAGUUCAAAUGUAAUUAAAUCUCUUUCAUAUUGAUAGAAUUUGCUAUCAAUCAAAACGUUGAGAAGCACUUAUGAUUUUUGCCUUCACUCACCAAAAAGUUGAGCCUUGUAAAUGAAGCAUCGCUCAAAAAGGCGAGCCACCCUUUGCCCUGUUUAACCUUUGGGGUUCAUAAACAUGGAUACCCAAAACCAUAUAUGAAGUUCAGAAGGGAAAGAGAGAUGAGAUUCCACCAACUAAUCAACACCCACCAGAACUCACUGAUCCAAAGUCAAAAUCAGCAAAGAACUGGACGCUUUCAGGCUGCCAUUCUCAUCACUUCCAAACACAAAGGCUUGUAAGCUGCAAGUUUCUUAAAUUUUGUCCCCCUCUUCUUCCAAUGCUCCAAACAGGACCAUAACAAGUCCUGGAAUCUCUGAUGUCACAGGGACCAAUUGGGUCAUAAGGCUCUGAUUCCCUUGAUCAAUUUUUCAUUAAUUACCUUCUCUUUUCAAUCUGACACAAUUCAACCCCCCCUCAGUAAGCUUGGGUCAACAAAAUCCCUUUCCUUUCUAAUCUAAACCCGCUUAUACACGUUACUAAAACCCUCGCCAAACAACUCACCAUCAUCGCCUUUAAAACGUCUUCAACCCCUCAACUGGGUUCCAACCUCCAUCAAUGUCCAUUUCCACCACUGCUACUCCAAAAUUAGUUCAGAGGGUACCCAAAUCCACUUCAGACAGAUUGCUUCAGAAGUUCUGCGAUGCUACCGAAUUUGGAUUUGAUUACGACACAAGUGGUCUCUGGUCUCCCCCUCUUCAACGCACUGUUUAUUUGAGCUCUUCCGGCAGAGUUUUCAAUCCAACAGAUUUGCAAAGAAAGCUUGAGAAUGUGUUGAGUUCUGGUCGUAGAAGAGAAACAAGUUGUUUCAAAUUCAGAGUGUUUUGGUGAUCCAUGAAUGAGGCAAAUCUCAAAGCUGCCAUCUUUAGUACCUCGCUUCCAUUUUUCCUUAUAAUGCAAGAUCUGCCUCAAAUUUGGAGCCACUCAGAGGUGGGCUACAGCUAUGUCUUAUGGUAUUGUGUCAUGUGCAGAAGGCUUUGCUUUAUAAAACUAAGCACAGUAUUUGGAGUAUUGAAAAAUAUGGAUAGCAGAGGUCCGGUGAAGUGGGUCCUGUAAUGGCUACCUUUGCAUGCAAAAUAACAAACCCAAUAAAACAUCUUGCCACCCAAAUGCAUCUCUACACAACACAAUUCUCAAUGUCUCACAGCUCCCUUCCUCCAUUUAUGAAGACUCUCUCAUUUUCCAAUAUUGUCUUUUUUAGGCUUUUCUUUCAAAUAUUUAAAACGCUUAUGUUUGGGAGAGAUUCUAUGCUCUUAUAAAAAAUGUUUCAUUUUCCUCUUCAA
Cucurbita pepo subsp. pepo (vegetable marrow) is the source of this 2205-nucleotide long non-coding RNA. RefSeq lists it as uncharacterized. Lineage: Eukaryota; Viridiplantae; Streptophyta; Magnoliopsida; Cucurbitales; Cucurbitaceae. The record is from RefSeq and is a predicted model, not a curated record.